Molecule: ribosomal RNA, 501 nt
Filed under: uncultured bacterium
Lineage: Bacteria
Description: bacterial SSU rRNA
Rfam family: Bacterial small subunit ribosomal RNA
Source: RNAcentral
AACGAACGCUGGCGGUGCGCCUAACACAUGCAAGUCGAGCGCGAAGUCCCUUCGGGGGCGAGUAGAGCGGCGGACGGGUGAGUAAUACAUGGGUAAUCUACCCCCGAGCUUGGGAUAACCCCGCGAAAGCGGGGCUAAUACCUGAUAAGACCACAUAACACAAGUUGUGUGGUAAAAGGUGGCUUGAAUUUAUUCUAGCUAUCACUUGAGGAUGAGUCCAUGGCCUAUCAGCUUGUUGGUGAGGUAAGAGCUUACCAAGGCUAUGACGGGUAGCUGGUCUGAGAGGACGACCAGCCACACUGGGACUGAGACACGGCCCAGACUCCUACGGGAGGCAGCAGUGGGGAAUAUUGGGCAAUGGGCGAAAGCCUGACCCAGCGACACCGCGUGGGUGAUGAAGGCCCUCGGGUUGUAAACUGCUUUUGUACAGAACGAAAAAGCUCUUUCUAAUACAGAGAGUCCAUGACGGUACUGUAAGAAUAAGCACCGGCUAACUACGUG